AAAUUAGUACAAGUAUUUCACUCGUGACAUGUGAAGCCAAUUGAAUCCUUUGAUACCAGCCGGUUCAGUUUUAUCGGUUGUAAAUUGGUUUGGUUCAUUCGAACACAUGUUUAAUCUUUCAUUUAAUUAGAAUAUUAAUAUGAUUAGAUUCUCAAGAUUAAAUUAAAAUUAACGAUGUAAAAAUAAUUUUAAAAUACAUAUAAGAUAUGUAUAGUUAUAUUUAUAUUUUAUAUUAGAUAUAAAUUUUAAAUAUAAAAUUAAAAUUGAAUUAAAUUUUGUUCCUCAAUUAAUUUCAAGUAUUUUCGAUGUCUACCCAAUC
Molecule: long non-coding RNA, 319 nt
Filed under: Brassica napus (rape)
Lineage: Eukaryota; Viridiplantae; Streptophyta; Magnoliopsida; Brassicales; Brassicaceae
Description: long non-coding RNA (BNAP_LNC009224)
Source: RNAcentral